This 94-nucleotide transfer RNA is filed under the name Desulforamulus aeronauticus DSM 10349. Its description in RNAcentral is "Desulfotomaculum aeronauticum DSM 10349 tRNA_Ser_CGA". It matches the Rfam family "tRNA". Rfam says of the family: Transfer RNA (tRNA) molecules are approximately 80 nucleotides in length. Their secondary structure includes four short double-helical elements and three loops (D, anti-codon, and T loops). The record is from RNAcentral. RNAcentral also lists the same sequence under 4 other names. Lineage: Bacteria; Bacillati; Bacillota; Clostridia; Eubacteriales; Peptococcaceae.
GGAGAGUUGGCCGAGCUGGUCGAAGGCGCUCGACUCGAAAUCGAGUAGACUGUGAUGAGCGGUCUCUAGGGUUCGAAUCCCUAACUCUCCGCCA